This is a long non-coding RNA of Dendronephthya gigantea, 274 nucleotides long. RefSeq lists it as uncharacterized. The transcript has 3 exons. The record is from RefSeq and is a predicted model, not a curated record. Lineage: Eukaryota; Metazoa; Cnidaria; Anthozoa; Malacalcyonacea; Nephtheidae.
GAUAACACAGAUGGAUCCUACAUCUGCACAUGUAAUUCAGGAUAUAGUGGAGAUGGAUUCAGGUGUCCUGAUGUAAACGAAUGCCAAGUUUCUUCCCCGUGUCAUCUAAAUGCUACGUGCAAUAACACAGUUGGAUCUUUCAACUGCGAAUGUGAUACAGGCUAUAACGGAGAUGGACUAAACUGCACUGACAAGAACGAAUGCCAAACUGCCUUCCCAUGCCAUUCCAAUGCUACGUGCAAUAACACACAGGGAUCUUAUAUUUGCACGUGUA